This 251-nucleotide long non-coding RNA is filed under the name Ricinus communis (castor bean). RNAcentral describes it as "long non-coding RNA (RCOM_LNC001484)". The record is from RNAcentral. Lineage: Eukaryota; Viridiplantae; Streptophyta; Magnoliopsida; Malpighiales; Euphorbiaceae.
UCUGAUGGUAAAUGUGCAGGAUCGAUUGCUAAAGGUUCAGUAGAUAGCUGUGAGGAAUCAAGCGAUAUAUGUGAAGAAUCCACUAAUACAUGUGAAGAAUCCACUAUUACAUGUGAAGAAUCCACUGUUACAUGUGAAGAAUCCACUGUUACAUGCGAAGAAGCAGCAAUAGCAGCUUCAGAUUCUUCCUGCAUCAAUUUUUGCAAUCCAGGUUUUAAUUCGUUGUUACAGAACUCCUCGUACUCCCCUUU